Molecule: ribosomal RNA, 659 nt
Filed under: Echinicola sp.
Lineage: Bacteria; Pseudomonadati; Bacteroidota; Cytophagia; Cytophagales; Cyclobacteriaceae
Description: bacterial SSU rRNA
Rfam family: Bacterial small subunit ribosomal RNA
Source: RNAcentral
UACCCCAUGGUAUGUAGAUGCUGCAUGGCAUUUAUAUUAAAGAUUUAUCGGUAGAAGAUGGGCAUGCGUAGGAUUAGCUAGUUGGCGGGGUAACGGCCCACCAAGGCGAUGAUCCUUAGGGGUUCUGAGAGGAAGGUCCCCCACACUGGCACUGAGAUACGGGCCAGACUCCUACGGGAGGCAGCAGUAGGGAAUAUUGGGCAAUGGGCGGAAGCCUGACCCAGCCAUGCCGCGUGCAGGAAGAAUGCCCUCUGGGUUGUAAACUGCUUUUAUCAGGGAAGAAAAGGCCCAUGCGUGGGACAUUGCCGGUACCUGAUGAAUAAGCACCGGCUAACUCCGUGCCAGCAGCCGCGGUAAUACGGAGGGUGCAAGCGUUGUCCGGAUUUAUUGGGUUUAAAGGGUGCGUAGGCUGCGGAUUAAGUCAGCGGUGAAAGUUUGGGGCUCAACCUUAAAAACGCCGAUGAUACUGGUUUGCUUGAGUGCCGGUAGGGUACAUGGAUUUAUGGUGUAGCGGUGAAAUGCAUAGAUACCAUAACACGAUGCGUACAUUGUACUUACCGGCACUGACGCUGAUGCACGAAAGCGUGGGGUAGCGAACAGGAUUAAAACCCGAGUCCACGUAAACGAUGAUUAUCUGUUGCUAUAUGUUGGAAGUUAAG